UUACGUGAAUACAUGUGUGCAGUGCGGGACGUCUGUUCCAAUAUGUUUGUUGACUGUUGUAGUGUGCAUACUGUUGUCACUGUACUCUGUGUGUGUGUGCGCGCUUUUAUGCUUGUGGAUGUCAAACAGUGUGUGCAUGAAGCUGUAUGAAUGCUCGGUCUCUAUUGUGAUACACAGAGACUUAAAGAAUAAAUACAGACCUUUUUUACCACUGUGUUACACAAGUCUUGCGUACCUUGCCUCUAUUCAAACCGUUUGGCAGAAUGGAGUUUCCCUAAGUUAUUCCUAGCGACGAUCAACUGUCCUCAUUGUGUCUUAAACAACAUUUGCGUCGGACUGAUGACGGGAAGAUAGUGAGUAGACACUAAAAUAAACAUCUGUGUGUGAACGGAGAUUUGAAAAGGAUGCACUAUGGGCACUUUUAUGAGCUCUACACUCGUCUGACUGACCCGCCGAUAUUCGAUGGACCAGUAAUAGAACAGAACGCCUUCUACUUCACCUGUGACCUGACCUUCGGCGGCAGUAACCCCAAUCAAGCCUUUGAGUUCGUCUCAAAACAUGCAGCAAAAAUGUAUUUGGCUUGUAGAGCAGAAAAUAGAAAAAUGACCUCAUCCACAGUGCCGAAAAAAAAAGUCCAUCAAUCGAUUUUAUAUCACAGCUACCAUCGAUGGCCGUCGAUAUAGCAACGCGGUGAAUGUGACUGUCUACGAACUCAAUCCGAAGGAUAACUCGCAGGUGGCUUGUCGUGCGCGCUCAAUUUUCACUGACCGUGAUGUUUUCAGUCCCUAUAUGGUCAGCAAUAUUAUCUCAAUGGCAGGUCCCUGAUAGCAGGAGAAAAACUGUCACAGUAUGACGUGUCAGGAAGGUUUGAUGAAAGUUCUUUUUUGGAUGCAGUAAUCAGACAACAAAAAUGUUGGAACAUGGAAAGUGUCUUCUGUACGUCAAUGUUAACAAUAAAAAAGGUUGUAAAAA
Molecule: long non-coding RNA, 972 nt
Organism: Pomacea canaliculata
Lineage: Eukaryota; Metazoa; Mollusca; Gastropoda; Architaenioglossa; Ampullariidae
Exons: 5
Source: RefSeq, a predicted model, not a curated record